RNAcentral lists this ribosomal RNA (468 nucleotides) under uncultured bacterium. RNAcentral's name for it is "partial 16S ribosomal RNA". It matches the Rfam family "Bacterial small subunit ribosomal RNA", at positions 28 to 523 of the family's 1533-position model. The record is from RNAcentral.
GAUGAACGCUGGCGGCGUGCCUAACACAUGCAAGUCGAGCGAUUCUCUUCGGAGAAGAGCGGCGGACGGGUGAGUAACGCGUGGGUAACCUGCCCUAUACACACGGAUAACGUACCGAAAGGUACGCUAAUACGAGAUAAUAUGCUUUAGUCGCAUGGCUGAAGUAUCAAAGCUCCGGCGGUAUAGGAUGGACCCGCGUCUGAUUAGCUAGUUGGUAAGGUAAUGGCUUACCAAGGCGACGAUCAGUAGCCGACCUGAGAGGGUGAUCGGCCACAUUGGAACUGAGACACGGUCCAAACUCCUACGGGAGGCAGCAGUGGGGAAUAUUGCACAAUGGGCGAAAGCCUGAUGCAGCAACGCCGCGUGAGCGAUGAAGGCCUUCGGGUCGUAAAGCUCUGUCCUCAAGGAAGAUAGUGACGGUACUUGAGGAGGAAGCCCCGGCUAACUACGUGCCAGCAGCCGCCGUAA